CAUUAUUGAGGGCGUGUGGGCUAAUAACCCCACCAACCCCAAUCCUUUGUUUACCGCCCCCCAUGUGGUUUGUUUGGGCGCGGUUGGGCCAAAAAAAAAUGUUAACCUAAGGGCGGGCAACUUUUUUUGAUCCCGAACGCACAAAAGUAUUUUGAUGCCCAAAAGACUACCAAAGUUAAAACAUUCUGAUAAUGUAUGAUGUCUGAAAAUUUAUUUAAAACAAGCAAAACUUUCAACAACGGAUCUCUUGGUUCCGGCAUCGAUGAAGAACGCAGCGAAAUGCGAUAAGUAAUGUGGACCGCAGUACUCAGCGACUCAUCGAAUCUUUGAACGCAUAUUGCGCCUCUUGGUAUCCCAAGAGGCACACCUGUUCGAGCGUCAUUAUGCAUAUUAUCAAGCUUAGCUUGGUCUUGGGCCAAUCUGCUUUUAUGCAGAGGUUUAAAAGUCAGUGGCGGUUCGGUUAAGUGUUCCAGCGUAGUUGUAAUUGUCAUAGCUGUGAGAACGCUUUUCUUUUGUAGCCUGUCAAAAUUAAUGACACCCACCAGGCCUGCCUGCGCAGACCUGGUUGGAUGUCCCGAAUUAUUGACCUCGGAUCAGGUGAGGAUACCCGCUGAAUUUAA
This 620-nucleotide ribosomal RNA is filed under the name Peltigera hydrothyria. Its description in RNAcentral is "eukaryotic LSU rRNA". The stretch from base 228 to 381 matches the Rfam family "5.8S ribosomal RNA". The record is from RNAcentral. Lineage: Eukaryota; Fungi; Ascomycota; Lecanoromycetes; Peltigerales; Peltigeraceae.